AUUGAACGCUGGCGGCAGGCCUAACACAUGCAAGUCGAACGGUAACAGGAAGCAGCUUGCUGCUUUGCUGACGAGUGGCGGACGGGUGAGUAAUGUCUGGGAAACUGCCUGAUGGAGGGGGAUAACUACUGGAAACGGUAGCUAAUACCGCAUAACGUCGCAAGACCAAAGAGGGGGACCUUCGGGCCUCUUGCCAUCGGAUGUGCCCAGAUGGGAUUAGCUAGUAGGUGGGGUAACGGCUCACCUAGGCGACGAUCCCUAGCUGGUCUGAGAGGAUGACCAGCCACACUGGAACUGAGACACGGUCCAGACUCCUACGGGAGGCAGCAGUGGGGAAUAUUGCACAAUGGGCGCAAGCCUGAUGCAGCUAUGCCGCGUGUAUGAAGAAGGCCUUCGGGUUGUAAAGUACUUUCAGCGGGGAGGAAGGGAGUAAAGUUAAUACCUUUGCUCAUUGACGUUACCCGCAGAAGAAGCACCGGCUAACUCCGUG
Molecule: ribosomal RNA, 490 nt
Filed under: uncultured bacterium
Lineage: Bacteria
Description: partial 16S ribosomal RNA
Rfam family: Bacterial small subunit ribosomal RNA
Source: RNAcentral